AAACUGAAACCUUUAGGUUGGUGUAAAAGUAAUUGCAGUUUUUGUGAUUUUUUUUUUAAUUGCAAAAAAUGUAAUUACUUUUGCGCCAACCUAAUA
RNAcentral lists this microRNA precursor (96 nucleotides) under Chlorocebus sabaeus (green monkey). Its description in RNAcentral is "miRNA (ENSCSAG00000020164.1)". Lineage: Eukaryota; Metazoa; Chordata; Mammalia; Primates; Cercopithecidae. The record is from RNAcentral.